Molecule: long non-coding RNA, 912 nt
Filed under: Homo sapiens (human)
Lineage: Eukaryota; Metazoa; Chordata; Mammalia; Primates; Hominidae
Description: HSALNT0406686
Source: RNAcentral
AUGGCAGCGUGUGAUGGUCACUGAGGGGCAGCACUGAUGGUCACCGAGGGUCAGCCUGGCCGUGGGGACAGCAGUGUGUGGUGGUCACCGAGGGGCAGCCUGGCCGUGGGGACAGCAGUGUGUGAUGGUUACCGAGGGGCAGCCUGGCCGUGGGGACAGCAGUGCGUGAUGGUCACCGAGGGGCAGCACUGAUGGUCACCAAGGGUCAGCCUGGCCGUGGGGACAGCAGUGUGUGAUGGUCAUCAAGGGGCACCAGUGAUGGUCACCAAGGGCCAGCCUGGCCGUGAGGACCAGGAGGGGAGAGUUCACUGCCACUGUUCGUGCAGGUGCCCAGCACCUCUGCCCUCAGGGUGGAGAGGAAAAGCGAGAAGUCUAUGGCACAGGUGCCACGGGGCAGAGGGGAUUUGAGAUGGGAACCAGACGUGACCUGGCCACGCCGCCCCUGCCACAGGCUCACGUGCUCACUUUCCAAAAUGACACGUUCCUUAACCUGCUGGGCCUGGCUCUCUUCGCCUCUCCUCCUGCUCUGCUGAGCAAAUUCCAACCUCUCAUAUGGGUGUGACCCCCUGUUGAAACACUGCUGUGUCCAUGGAGCACAUGAUUAUUUUAAUUAAGAACACGUCGUGGAAUGAGGCCGCUGAGGCCCACACACUGUGCCUCCCAGCACUCACCUCCCCUGCCCCCAAGCAGGGCUGCCCGUGUGCAGCCAGCCUGAGCCCCAGCACUCAGCUCCAGAUUGGAGCCUGCAGCAGCUGCCAUCCAUCAUGCUUGGACUGCGGCCCGUGGGCUGGUGAUGGCCGUCCACUCUCGGGGCCCAGCCCGGCUGGAGACCCAGGGAGAGCAGUGAUUGAUUAACAAGCACACGCCGAAUUACUCUCUGUAAUGGUGAUGAAUAUGGCUUGGACCUCGCUG